Long non-coding RNA from Danio aesculapii, 793 nucleotides. RefSeq lists it as uncharacterized. The transcript is spliced from 3 exons. The record is from RefSeq and is a predicted model, not a curated record. Lineage: Eukaryota; Metazoa; Chordata; Actinopteri; Cypriniformes; Danionidae.
CUUACAUGCCAUCUUGCUUUUCCAUCUUCAUGCCGUUUGCCACUCUCAACUGACUUCAAAUGUGGGAAGCCGACAGAGAAGCUGCCACUGCCUGUUUAGCACCAUGAAGAUCUGCAUUCUGAUCUGCCAGACAAUCCACGUCUCUCUGAACUGGUCAGGCACUUCAUCAUUUCCCUGUUAGCCUCUGCUUUCUGCACUGGCCUGAAGUCAUGGCUCAGUUAGGCAUCUGCCAGACUGCUCCUGAGGGUCCUGGGUGGAGAACGAGGAGUCAAAAGUUUUCUCACUGCAUGGAGAGUCCAUUAUGAACCAUUUCAAACAAUGAUUUAUGGACAGGAGCCCAGCGAUGAGACUGGAGAUGACAUGUGCUAUGCGAAAGUUUGCAGCAGGAGCCCGACUGAUCACACGUUAUCGACGUUCAAUUAAAAGCUAUUAAGGUCUUUUGUCUGCUCGUUAAUAUCCCAUUCAGACGCCCUGUCAGAGCGGUCCCUAAACCCUGAGCUUUACGGACUGGUCCCAUAGUUGGGUUAAAGUCAGUGUUAGGCUCGCGGAGGGGGAAUUAAGGGGGGCUCCUGUCGUGCCGCUGACCAGAUGUCCCGUCGCUGAGCCGAGCCGCAGUCCACGCUGCCCGGUGACCAGCUGUUGGGGCCGCUUGGCAAAGAGCAGCAAACCAACACUCUCAAGAAAGUAUAUGGAAACAAUCCAUUUCCAAAUGGGAUCAUUUAGGGCACUUAAACAAUUACACACUUAGGUGACCAUUAAUAUUUCAUGCACAGAUUGUUUAUGAAAACUAAAC